This 201-nucleotide long non-coding RNA is filed under the name Elaeis guineensis (African oil palm). RNAcentral's name for it is "long non-coding RNA (EGUI_LNC029970)". The record is from RNAcentral. Lineage: Eukaryota; Viridiplantae; Streptophyta; Magnoliopsida; Arecales; Arecaceae.
AAUGAGUUUUAUUUUACUUUAAAAAAAAAUAAGUUCACGUCUCUAUAAAACCUUAAACAUCAUGAAUUAUUUACUUGAUUAAGAAAGUGCGCAUAGCAACAAAAACUCUUUCACGCACGAAGCGCAUGAUACGAAUAAUAUUAUUUUUUUUAAUCAAACAAAGUGCAUGACAUGAGUAAUAUUGUCAUCGGCCACCACAGC